UGCAUUGGAACGUACCGAGUAGUGGGGGAUAACUAGUCGAAAGAUUAGCUAAUACCGCAUACGCAUUGAGAUGGAAAGCGGGGGAUCUUAGGACCUCGCGCCAUUUGAGCGGCCAAUGUCUGAUAGCUAGUUGGUGGGGUAAAGGCCUACCAAGGCGACGAUCAGUAGCGGGUCUGAGAGGAUGAUCCGCCACACUGGGACUGAGACACGGCCCAGACUCCUACGGGAGGCAACAGUGGGGAAUUUUGGACAAUGGGCGAAAGCCUGAUCCAGCCAUGCCGCGUGUCUGAAGAAGGCCUUCGGGUUGUAAAGGACUUUUGUCAGGGAAGAAAAGGUGAUUGCUAAUAUCAGUCGCUGAUGACGGUACCUGAAGAAUAAGCACCGGCUAACUACGUGCCAGCAGCCGCGGUAAUACGUAGGGUGCGAGCGUUAAUCGGAAUUACUGGGCGUAAAGCGAGCGCAGACGGUUUGUUAAGCAGGAUGUGAAAUCCCCGAGCUCAACUUGGGAACGGCGUUCUGAACUGGCAAGCUAGAGUAUGUCAGAGGGGGGUAGAAUUCCACGUGUAGCAGUGAAAUGCGUAGAGAUGUGGAGGAAUACCGAUGGCGAAGGCAGCCCCCUGGGAUAAUACUGACGUUCAUGCUCGAAAGCGUGGGUAGCAAACAGGAUUAGAUACCCUGGUAGUCCACGCCCUAAACGAUGUCUAUUAGCUGUUGGGCAACUUGAUUGCUUAGUAGCGUAGCUAACGCGUGAAAUUGACCGCCUGGGGAGUACGGUCGCAAGAUUAAAACUCAAAGGGAUUGACGGGGACCCGC
Molecule: ribosomal RNA, 813 nt
Filed under: uncultured bacterium
Lineage: Bacteria
Description: bacterial SSU rRNA
Rfam family: Bacterial small subunit ribosomal RNA
Source: RNAcentral